RNAcentral lists this ribosomal RNA (253 nucleotides) under uncultured bacterium. Its description in RNAcentral is "partial 16S ribosomal RNA". It matches the Rfam family "Bacterial small subunit ribosomal RNA", at positions 524 to 776 of the family's 1533-position model. The record is from RNAcentral.
GACAGAGGGUGCAAACGUUGUUCGGAAUUACUGGGCGUAAAGCGCGUGUAGGCGGUCCGCUAAGUCGGGUGUGAAAGCCCUGGGCUCAACCCAGGAAGUGCACUCGAAACUGGCGGGCUAGAGUACUGGAGAGGUUGGUGGAAUUCUCGGUGUAGAGGUGAAAUUCGUAGAUAUCGAGAGGAACACCGGUGGCGAAGGCGGCCAACUGGACAGAUACUGACGCUGAGACUCGAAAGCGUGGGGAGCAAACAGG